GAUGAACGCUGGCGGCGUGCUUAACACAUGCAAGUCGAACGAAGCACUUUAUUUGAUUUCCUUCGGGACUGAUUAUUUUGUGACUGAGUGGCGGACGGGUGAGUAACGCGUGGGUAACCUGCCUUGUACAGGGGGAUAACAGUUGGAAACGGCUGCUAAUACCGCAUAAGCGCACAGCAUCGCAUGAUGCAGUGUGAAAAACUCCGGUGGUAUAAGAUGGACCCGCGUUGGAUUAGCCAGUUGGUGAGGUAACGGCCCACCAAGGCGACGAUCCAUAGCCGACCUGAGAGGGUGACCGGCCACAUUGGGACUGAGACACGGCCCAAACUCCUACGGGAGGCAGCAGUGGGGAAUAUUGCACAAUGGGCGAAAGCCUGAUGCAGCGACGCCGCGUGAGCGAAGAAGUAUUUCGGUAUGUAAAGCUCUAUCAGCAGGGAAGAUAAUGACGGUACCUGACUAAGAAGCACCGGCUAAAUACGUG
RNAcentral lists this ribosomal RNA (481 nucleotides) under uncultured bacterium. RNAcentral's name for it is "partial 16S ribosomal RNA". It matches the Rfam family "Bacterial small subunit ribosomal RNA", at positions 28 to 507 of the family's 1533-position model. The record is from RNAcentral.